UACGGGGGGGGUAAGCGUUGUUCGGAAUUACUGGGCGUAAAGGGCUCGUAGGCGGCCAACUAAGUCAGACGUGAAAUCCCUCGGCUUAACCGGGGAACUGCAUCUGAUACUGGAUGGCUUGAGAUUGGGAGAGGGAUGCGGAAUUCCAGGUGUAGCGGUGAAAUGCGUAGAUAUCUGGAGGAACACCGGUGGCGAAGGCGACAUCCUGGACCGGUAUUGACGCUGAGGCGCGAAAGCCAGGGGAGCAAACGGG
This 253-nucleotide ribosomal RNA is filed under the name uncultured bacterium. RNAcentral describes it as "partial 16S ribosomal RNA". It matches the Rfam family "Bacterial small subunit ribosomal RNA", at positions 524 to 776 of the family's 1533-position model. The record is from RNAcentral.